Molecule: ribosomal RNA, 466 nt
Filed under: uncultured bacterium
Lineage: Bacteria
Description: partial 16S ribosomal RNA
Rfam family: Bacterial small subunit ribosomal RNA
Source: RNAcentral
GACGAACGCUGGCGGCGUGCUUAACACAUGCAAGUCGAACGGUGAAGCCCAUCUUGCUGGGUGGAUUAGUGGCGAACGGGUGAGUAACACGUGAGUAACCUGCCCUUGACUCUGGGAUAAGCCUGGGAAACUGGGGCUAAUACUGGAUAUGACUUCUCGUCGCAUGGUGGGGGGUGGAAAGUUUUGGUGGUCUUGGAUGGACUCGCGGCCUAUCAGCUUGUUGGUGGGGUAAUGGCUCACCAAGGCGAUGACGGGUAGCCGGCCUGAGAGGGUGACCGGCCACACUGGGACUGAGACACGGCCCAGACUCCUACGGGAGGCAGCAGUGGGGAAUAUUGCACAAUGGGCGCAAGCCUGAUGCAGCGACGCCGCGUGAGGGAUGACGGCCUUCGGGUUGUAAACCUCUUUCAGUAGGGAAGAAGCGAGAGUGACGGUACCUGCAGAAGAAGCGCCGGCUAACUACGUG